GGCAUCAUGGCUCAGUGGUAGAGCAUCUGCUUUGCAUGCAGAAGGUCCUAGGUUCAAUCAAUGGCGUCUCCA
Molecule: non-coding RNA, 72 nt
Organism: Podarcis lilfordi (Lilford's wall lizard)
Lineage: Eukaryota; Metazoa; Chordata; Lepidosauria; Squamata; Lacertidae
Source: the annotation of a GenBank genome assembly